Molecule: ribosomal RNA, 317 nt
Filed under: uncultured bacterium
Lineage: Bacteria
Description: bacterial SSU rRNA
Rfam family: Bacterial small subunit ribosomal RNA
Source: RNAcentral
GACGAACGCUGGCGGCGUGCCUAAUACAUGCAAGUCGAGCGGACCGAAGGGAGCUUGCUCUUUUAGGUUAGCGGCGGACGGGUGAGUAACACGUGGGCAACCUGCCCUGCAGACUGGGAUAACUUCGGGAAACCGGAGCUAAUACCGGAUAACACCGAAAACCGCAUGGUUUUCGGUUGAAAGGCGGCUUUUAGCUGUCACUGCAGGAUGGGCCCGCGGCGCAUUAGCUAGUUGGUGAGGUAACGGCUCACCAAGGCGACGAUGCAUAGCCGAGUUGAGAGACUGAUCGGCCACAUUGGGACUGAGACACGGCCCAA